UACAGAGGGGGCAAGCGUUGUUCGGAAUUACUGGGCGUAAAGGGCGCGUAGGCGGCCUUCUAAGUCGAACGUGAAAUCCCCGGGCUCAACCCGGGAACUGCGUCCGAUACUGGGAGGCUUGAAUCCGGGAGAGGGAUGUGGAAUUCCAGGUGUAGCGGUGAAAUGCGUAGAUAUCUGGAGGAAUACCGGUGGCGAAGGCGGCAUCCUGGACCGGCAUUGACGCUGAGGAGCGAAAGCUAGGGGAGCAAACGGG
This 253-nucleotide ribosomal RNA is filed under the name uncultured bacterium. RNAcentral describes it as "partial 16S ribosomal RNA". It matches the Rfam family "Bacterial small subunit ribosomal RNA", at positions 524 to 776 of the family's 1533-position model. The record is from RNAcentral.